AUGGUCAUUGAUCUAAGCUUUUACAAAACGUAUAACACUACAUCAACGGAAAAGAAUGGAUUCUGUAAUGACGGGAAACACAACCGAUAGGAUUAACAAUGCAUUGGCAGCACUGAGGAGUGAAAUGCUUGACCUCAGACAACAAGAUGGCCAAAUGAUGAAACAGCUUAUUUGUAUCAACGAAAACAUUAAAACUUUGUCGAAGAGGUCGAAUCCUUGCAGACCAAUACGAAAGAGAUUUUCUUUGGUGAAAGGACGAAGGAAGUUCAUCAAUCCAAAUGAAUCCAUUCCAGAAGAAGAUUCUAGUUCUGCAGAUUCCGACAGUGACGACAGCGUUUCUGGUACAGAGAACUACCAAUGAUGGAGGAACCUGGUAGCGGUCACACGACACAUCUUCAAAUGAAUCCAUCCUUAAGUGGAGUCAAUCUGUUCGCUUAAAUGAAAGGACGGAACCAAUCCGAACGAGGAACUCUCUAGCUUUGAAGAAUCUUCUAGCUAACAGACAUGGCCGAUCGCGAUCUGGAAUCCAUGACGACAUUUAGGUUUCCGUACCGGAUCUGUGCAUCACACCGAGGAUUCUCGCCAAUAUCUGACACUGUUUGGACACCACAAUGUCAUAGUUUAAAAACACAGAGGGCAUUGAAGCAGCACUGAAUCGUGGUUUAAUACUGUGGAAGAACUCAGUCUGGACUUAAAUCGCUGUUGUCACACAGCAUACCAGUUUUCUGAAUCAGGCCAUUAUAUUACGGUGUUUUACUGUGGAACAUACAUUAUCUGAAAGAAGUUUAUGUUCAAAUCGCGCUGUUUAGGAUAUGGUUAUUUCUUUCAUAUCUGACAAUGACUUUUAAACUUUGUGUUCGCUCUCAAUGUCUAAAGAGCGAAAAGCGUAAACACCUGAGUCUUUCUUAUAAUAUACUUUUGUGUUCGUAUUAUGUUGAUGUAUUUAACAGUGCAUCAGAGGAAAAUAGUAAACGAAGAACAUUUGUAUAUUAAGUGUGAAGUGCACCAACUAUAUAUAAUUAUGCGCAUUAAUUGGAAUAAGAAUAUGUGUUUGCGUCAUGAAUUUCAAUGCGUAGGUGUGAGAAAAUAAUGACAGUAAGGAUGUGAUGGCCAGACAGAGGCAAUAGGGCAUAUUGUAAUUAUUUGUAAACCGAAAAAAUAAA
This is a long non-coding RNA of Mizuhopecten yessoensis (Yesso scallop), 1163 nucleotides long. RefSeq lists it as uncharacterized. NCBI's taxonomy places the organism in Eukaryota, Metazoa, Mollusca, Bivalvia, Pectinida, Pectinidae. The record is from RefSeq and is a predicted model, not a curated record. The transcript has 3 exons.